RNAcentral lists this unclassified non-coding RNA (294 nucleotides) under fungal sp. RNAcentral's name for it is "partial internal transcribed spacer region". The stretch from base 1 to 46 matches the Rfam family "Eukaryotic small subunit ribosomal RNA", at positions 1786 to 1831 of the family's 1831-position model. Lineage: Eukaryota; Fungi. The record is from RNAcentral.
AAGUCGUAACAAGGUUUCCGUAGGUGAACCUGCGGAAGGAUCAUUAAAAAAUCGUUCUGGGCUGUUGGCCUAGUUUGAGCCGCAAGGCUCUUAAAUUUUGUGCACCGGUCUAUGGGGCUGUGCGGGCUAGGGUUGGCAGAUGGGCGCAUAAUGUAUAUAUGUGCGCGUCUGCUUCUUGCCGAUGGCAAGGCCCGUGCCUGUGCUGCUCUGUGGUUUUCAAAACAGUUGACUCUGAUUUUCUGUAUAAUAUUCAUUAAUAUUUUACAACUUUCAACAGUGGAUCUCUCGGCUCUU